AACCACGGACAGACAGGAGCCAGCAGCUAUAAAGGCAGUCAUUCUCUGGCCAGCCUCAGACUCAUCUAAAAGCAAAAAGGCCUCCAUUUUCUCUCAAGUUCCAGGCCAAGGACUGACCUGUGGGAACCACACAGGAAUACAUUCCGAGCAUCACAAGUUAAAAUCUGGUGGGGAACUUCAGACAAGAAUUCAGAAAGAAUACACGAGCCAAACAUGUUCUCUUGGAGUCUUAGGAUUAACUCUGGACAUUAUGGUCCCACAACUGCAAAGAAAUGACAGCAGCCAGCUCACUCAUAUAGAUGUUCAUAUGUCUCUAAUACCUGUCCUCCCAUUCCCCAUGACCUAUUGAUCCCUUCCAUUCAUGAAGUCCUUAUCUCAUCCCUCAUUACCCAACCUCACAUCCACCCAGCAACUACUGUAGCAUCAACUGUGUCUCAAACAACACUAGCUGUGGCUGUGGAGGAAGGGCGCUGCCUUUUCCAUGACGAGAGAAGCGCAGAUACUCUGAGCUGAUGCCGAGUGCCUCUGACAAGGAAGCGACAAUCCCACCUGUCCCACGUCUACUGACACAGGUCACAUCGCACCUGGAAGGUACCAUUCAGAGACAAGAGAAAACUGAAUG
Molecule: non-coding RNA, 622 nt
Organism: Peromyscus maniculatus bairdii (prairie deer mouse)
Lineage: Eukaryota; Metazoa; Chordata; Mammalia; Rodentia; Cricetidae
Source: RefSeq, a predicted model, not a curated record